UGACGAUAAGUUGAAUAAUUAAUACUAUGAAGGAACAAUGUACAAGGACAAUAUGUGGAUUUAAUGCAGAGUUUAAAAAAAUAAUAAUUCCCAAGGUUAACAGUUCUUGUAUUUACAUUUGCCCAGGUACUAGUGUCAUACUAGUACAGAGCAAACUUUGAGAAGAGUACAUGUCACAGGGUGAAUUGGUAGUGAGUUGGGCCCAGCUGUUGCCCAUACCAGUGAUUGGCAUUGGCAGUGAUUGAGACACAGCUGUUUCCCAUUUCAUUGAUUGGUAGAGCAUGGUGGGGAUAGGUUGAAUCCUCUUUUAAAAGGCCCUGUGUUUGGUGUACGGGAGGUUGGAGGAUUGAGGUGCAGGUUGGCACUCUGUAUGUCUGCAUCGGUGCUGGUUUUAGGUGUCCUGCCUGUGUGCCUGCUGGUUUCACGGGAGAGAGCGGUGGCUGUGUUCCCGGUUCGUGAUUGGGACGAGGAGGCAGUGACAGUUGGGCAGAUCGGAGACGACGGGGCUAUACACCGUGCAACUGGAGCUAGGCUCCAAACAGCUUCUCUGCUGUGCCGUUCACCGGAUCUACUGCCGGAUUCCUUCUUCCCUGGUCGCUGACGCGGAACAGUGGGUGACGUCACCAGGACCGGGUGCGGGUCGGGCUAGGUUCCAGAGUGGCGUCUUGGAAAUAGUUUGCAGUGCCCAAGUAUUUUGGAGUGCAGUGAGUGCCUUCACUUUUCCCUCACAGUGCCCUAGGUAGACUGUCUGCAUUGCCGGAUUGUUUGUUUGUAAAUGUUUACCACGUGUGUUGUGUGACUUGUUCUGCUCGGGUCCCAAACUUAUGCCCACCCCCAUUGACGGAGGGAGGUUCUUGCCCCAUUAGAGCUGGGUAGGGUGUGGGAGACCUUAUUCAUGUAGCUCGGUGUGGGCAAUUGAUAAAGAUAUUUAUUUUAAA
Molecule: long non-coding RNA, 938 nt
Organism: Clupea harengus (Atlantic herring)
Lineage: Eukaryota; Metazoa; Chordata; Actinopteri; Clupeiformes; Clupeidae
Exons: 2
Source: RefSeq, a predicted model, not a curated record